AUGGAUUUGAUGAGUGGAAGUGAUUGCAAAGAGGUUAUGUUGACAACACCCAAAGUGGAAGUAGAGAUUAAAGUUAAAGUGUCUUCGGUUGCUGAGAUGGAGAAGCAAAAUACAAAGAGGUUUAAUAAUUUGAAUGAGUGUGGAUGUAAAAAUUGCCAUGAUCAUAAUACUUGGUGCAGCGUCGAAGAAUCUGAUAUAUUUGCGCUUGGUGCAGCUUUGGAGGCUUUUUGA
Vicia faba (fava bean) is the source of this 231-nucleotide non-coding RNA. Lineage: Eukaryota; Viridiplantae; Streptophyta; Magnoliopsida; Fabales; Fabaceae. The record is from the annotation of a GenBank genome assembly.